GAUGAACGCUGGCGGCGUGCUUAACACAUGCAAGUCGAACGGGAAUUAUUUUAUUGAAACUUCGGUCGAUUUAAUUUAAUUCUAGUGGCGGACGGGUGAGUAACGCGUGGGUAACCUGCCUUAUACAGGGGAAUAACAGUCAGAAAUGGCUGCUAAUACCGCAUAAGCGCACAGAGCUGCAUGGCUCAGUGUGAAAAACUCCGGUGGUAUAAGAUGGACCCGCGUUGGAUUAGCUUGUUGGCAGGGUAACGGCCUACCAAGGCGACGAUCCAUAGCCGGCCUGAGAGGGUGAACGGCCACAUUGGGACUGAGACACGGCCCAGACUCCUACGGGAGGCAGCAGUGGGGAAUAUUGCACAAUGGGGGAAACCCUGAUGCAGCGACGCCGCGUGAAGGAAGAAGUAUCUCGGUAUGUAAACUUCUAUCAGCAGGGAAGAUAGUGACGGUACCUGACUAAGAAGCCCCGGCUAACUACGUG
Molecule: ribosomal RNA, 478 nt
Filed under: uncultured bacterium
Lineage: Bacteria
Description: partial 16S ribosomal RNA
Rfam family: Bacterial small subunit ribosomal RNA
Source: RNAcentral